This 341-nucleotide long non-coding RNA is filed under the name Salvia miltiorrhiza (redroot sage). RNAcentral's name for it is "long non-coding RNA (SMIL_LNC004429)". The record is from RNAcentral. Lineage: Eukaryota; Viridiplantae; Streptophyta; Magnoliopsida; Lamiales; Lamiaceae.
UGAAUUUGAUUAAUGAAUUUAUAUCCCUAGGAUCAGUCGUUUUAUUUAUCUAUUUUUUUUAUUUGAUUUUAUUUGUUUUGUCUUGAGUUUAGUUUUUAUUCUCCUUCAUAUUUUUGGUUGCCUGAAUAUUGUUAUAGGAAUUAUUAGGAUUACUUAGAGUAAUUUCAUUUAUCAGUCCAUGUGGAUACGAUACUCGGUUACUGAUUAAUUGCUACAAUUGCACCGUGGUAGUUGCGGUAUUUGUUGCUAAGAAAUUAGUGAUCAACUUUUUGGCGCCGUUGCCGGGGACUGUGUAGAAUUUACUUUAAUAUUUCUGAUAGGACUUAGGCAUUAUUUCAGGC